UGUAUUCUCGUUUAAGCCAUGUGGGUUAAUACAUUCAUAUUAAUUUCACAUUCCUGCUAUCCUGAUACAAUGAGACAAAUUAAAUUCUAGAUUUUAUUAUAGCCUAGUGUAGCGACAUACUGUUACAGAAGUACAUUGAAAAAGUUUGGUACUUUUAUUCAUCCAGCUUAACGAGAGCACGGAAAAUAGGGCUCUAUAUAAAUAGAGAGAGUAUGCUGAAGGAAAGCAAACAUGCAGAAAUUAUAACUCUGAAAGAAAAUUCAAUACCAGACGUUCAAAUGCUUUGGGUGCCGAGAAGAAUAUAUUUCCUAGUUAGUUUAUUUUGCAAAAGUACAUUUUACAACUGUCCCUGCAAUGAAUAGUCAUCGUAAGAAACAUUCAGACAUACAGCUGCUUAAAUGUACCUGCUGCGAAAGUAUUUUUGAGGGAAAAGCUUUUUGAGAAGCAUCAAAAAAUUCACUACAAUCAGAUUGUUGCAACAGAAAACAAAAUGAAAGCAUUCCAGUCAUGCUUGAAUGGACAAAUUAAACAUUGCAGUGUUGAGAUAAAAACUUCGUGGAAUGAAUCCUACAGCUUGGAUAUUUCUAUCAAACUCCAAUCUUAAAACAGAUUUUCAAUUUCAACCCACGAAUUUGUAACAUUUACAUGGCGAUUGUUAUGAAUUCAAAUUACCAAACUUGAUGCCGUAUUGUAAUUUUGCUGUAUGAUUUAAGUUCGUUUACGUCACGUUAUUCUUAUGCUUGAUUUGCAUAUUUAUCGGAUGACAGGGAAUGGUAGGCGGUUUAUUAUAAAAUAGUGCACCAUUUGAUUCAUAAAUCCCCAGCCCAAUACUGGAGUCAUUGAAGUCGCAAUCUGCAUGCUAAUAUUUCCUCAUUCUGGUUUAAAUAUAAAAAGCCUUGUAGUAAUAGGUAUCAUAAUUGGAAAUAAGUCCCUGUUACAAGUUUUCCAUUUUAUUUUUUUUCUCACUAUGUGUCUUUUUCUUGGCUGUUGUUUGGAUUUCCUGUUUUAUUGUUCAAAUUUUGUUUCUGAUGAUUUUUGUAUCGGACAGUUAUUUUCUCUUAUACUUACAUUGAUGGUGGUUUGCCUCUGUCUAUUUUAAAACUUUUGUGUGAAAAAAGAAUAGUCUUUUUAUGAGCUGUUUUUGCUCUGAACAAGGCUUUGCUUGAGUAGGAUUAUGUGCAGGAGCAUAAUCAAAUCUUUGUUGCAUAUCCUGCCACGUGAUAAAUAUCAUUAUAUAUUGCAUGAACUAGUGUAGACGCUUUGUUGGUUUGCAGUGACAUUUAAACAAAUCAUAUUGAUCUGGAUUUAAGCCUACUGUAAUGACUUUUCUAAAUCUCCGAUGUUGAAAAUUUGUCAUGGACUAUUUCAAUCCUGGUUUAGUAGUGUUAAUUAGAUGGAUAGAGUGAAAGCUACUCACUAAAGAAACAUGCUGUGUUUUAUUAAGUCUAUACUUUGUAAUUCAAUACCUUUGCAUCAAUGUAGUUUUCAGCUGUGAAUUUCAAUUUGUUCUAAUGCCAAUUUGCUAGCACCCACAUUUUUGCAGCGUGUUCACCAAGUUGAAUGCCCGAACGAUGCACGUUCGUGUUUUUAUCUUUUUUUUUAUGUUUGUUUGUGUAGUAUGGGUGAACUGGCACAAUCAAUUCUUUCCACCACUUUCCCAACCUUUUUGAAGGUUUUGCCAGUUUUUUCAAUCUUCACCACUGUUUUGUGAAUUUUUUUUAGUUAGGAAAUUACAAUUCAGGACACAUCGUAUUUCUGCUUCUGAUCUUGACAUAAUGGAGGGAGAAACACAAGCAGAAUCACUCUCUGCAGUCAAGAAAAGUUUGAAGUCAAUGGAAGAUCAAAUAAAGCCUUUGCAAGAAGUUGCAGUGCGCGUUAUUGCUGAUGCUCACGAUACUCUAAUCGACUUAGUGACUUCUUUUGAUCCAUCGUUACAAGAUAACAUUAUCAACCAAACGUGUGUAGCCUGUGAAGCAUGUCGUCAUGAAUAUAAUACCAGGUGGAAUAUAUUGUGCGAACGAUAUGGAAUCGAGAACGGAAUGAUGAACUGAACAGCUGAUUGAUUCUGCUAAUAACUGCAUCGACCAAUGUAUGUCUUCGUCAACUGAUAUGCCAUAUUUUUUGGUAUUUUGGAAAUGUGGUAGUUUUCAUUAUAUGUUAUUUGUAAAACUGUUUAACUACCAUUACGACUGCAUUGCAUAUUCUUUUUCGAAAUGUUCUUAAAAGUAGUCACAAUCUGAACAUAGUAUGUGUACCAGUUAGGGUUGUUCAGGUUGUGCGUCAUCUUGGUACGAAUACUUCCGGAGCGCCAUACAAUGAGUUGAUAAAAGUUGAUUUCGGUACUUUCAUAAGAAGCAAUAAAUCACCUACUUUGCAAUAGUUCCAGGAUAUGUUUCAUCUCUAUUUUGUCCUCAAUAUUGUUUUGUCAAAAUAAAUUUGGUUUACGUCGAGACAUCACCGAUACUGUUAUCCCCUAAGGUUGAUUUUCAAAUAAGCGUGCUUUUGGUGGAAAAAUUCAUUAUUUUUUUGUCGAGUUUGAAAUUUCUAUUUGUUUGUAUAUAGUUUUUGCACACUUUAACGGGGAGGCAUAAAUAUUUGCUUGUUCCACAUUCCGUGAUUCCAUUUGGUCUCGCCAUUUUGUUUGGAUUAAGUGCCCUAAUAAUUCCCAAUAAUAGAAAUAUUAGUCUUCGCAUGGGCAUGUUAAAUAGUUAUAAUUGUACUCUGUAACUACAUUCUGAAUUAUUGAAGUCACAUUGAGAAAUGCAUAGCUGAUAAAAUGAAAAUAAACAAUACAAACAUUUUUAUUCU
Long non-coding RNA from Styela clava, 2808 nucleotides. RefSeq lists it as uncharacterized. NCBI's taxonomy places the organism in Eukaryota, Metazoa, Chordata, Ascidiacea, Stolidobranchia, Styelidae. The record is from RefSeq and is a predicted model, not a curated record.